RNAcentral lists this ribosomal RNA (301 nucleotides) under uncultured bacterium. RNAcentral describes it as "partial 16S ribosomal RNA". It matches the Rfam family "Bacterial small subunit ribosomal RNA", at positions 509 to 807 of the family's 1533-position model. The record is from RNAcentral.
CAGCCGCCACGGGAAUACAGAGGGUGCAAGCGUUAAUCGGAAUUACUGGGCGUAAAGCGCGCGUAGGUGGUUUGUUAAGUUGGAUGUGAAAGCCCCGGGCUCAACCUGGGAACUGCGUCCAAAACUGGCAAGCUAGAGUACGGUAGAGGGUGGUGGAAUUUCCUGUGUAGCGGUGAAAUGCGUAGAUAUAGGAAGGAACACCAGUGGCGAAGGCGACCACCUGGACUGAUACUGACACUGAGGUGCGAAAGCGUGGGGAGCAAGCAGGAUUAGAUACCCGUGUAGUCCCUGUCUCUUAUAC